Molecule: transfer RNA, 73 nt
Filed under: Marmota monax (woodchuck)
Lineage: Eukaryota; Metazoa; Chordata; Mammalia; Rodentia; Sciuridae
Description: tRNA.Ala
Source: RNAcentral
GUGGAGAUGUGGCUCAAGCUGUAGCGUGCUCGCCUGGCAUGCGUGCAGCCUGGGUUCAAUCCUCAGCACCACA